CCUACGGGAGGCAGCAGUGGGGAAUAUUGCACAAUGGGCGCAAGCCUGAUGCAGCCAUGCCGCGUGUGUGAAGAAGGCCUUCGGGUUGUAAAGCACUUUCAGCGGGGAGGAAGGCGUUAAGGUUAAUAACCUUGUCGAUUGACGUUACCCGCAGAAGAAGCACCGGCUAACUCCGUGCCAGCAGCCGCGGUAAUACGGAGGGUGCAAGCGUUAAUCGGAAUUACUGGGCGUAAAGCGCACGCAGGCGGUCUGUCAAGUCGGAUGUGAAAUCCCCGGGCUCAACCUGGGAACUGCAUUCGAAACUGGCAGGCUAGAGUCUUGUAGAGGGGGGUAGAAUUCCAGGUGUAGCGGUGAAAUGCGUAGAGAUCUGGAGGAAUACCGGUGGCGAAGGCGGCCCCCUGGACAAAGACUGACGCUCACGUGCGAAAGCGUGGGGAGCAAACAGGAUUAGAUACCCGUGUAGUC
This 465-nucleotide ribosomal RNA is filed under the name uncultured Klebsiella sp. Its description in RNAcentral is "bacterial SSU rRNA". It matches the Rfam family "Bacterial small subunit ribosomal RNA", at positions 338 to 795 of the family's 1533-position model. The record is from RNAcentral. Lineage: Bacteria; Pseudomonadati; Pseudomonadota; Gammaproteobacteria; Enterobacterales; Enterobacteriaceae.